RNAcentral lists this ribosomal RNA (1000 nucleotides) under Hyalella cajasi. RNAcentral's name for it is "16S ribosomal RNA". The stretch from base 606 to 1000 matches the Rfam family "Archaeal large subunit ribosomal RNA", at positions 2144 to 2775 of the family's 2987-position model. The record is from RNAcentral. Lineage: Eukaryota; Metazoa; Arthropoda; Malacostraca; Amphipoda; Hyalellidae.
AAUUUAUGUGUACUUAUAGGAGAUAAAAAAAAGACAAUAGCGUUUUAUCUGCCUUUUGUAUCAGGAUGUAUUUAAAUAACUAAAUAUAACUAAUUCUCGAAUCCCUCACGAGCUAAAUAUCUUCUAUUAAAUAAGACUUUAUUUGUGUUAGAAGUGAAACUCUACGAGCAGGGUUAACUAGUUGUGGUUUAUUAGGGGAGUAAGUCUCUUUUUUACUAGCAUAGUUUAUAAAUAUACAAAAAUUAUCUUUUAUACUAAGUAAAUUAACUAUUUAUUAUAAAUAAUGUUUAGUUACUGUAAAAUAUAGUUAUUAACCGCUAUGCCUAAAAAUAAACUAAAGAAAUUUACAAUUAUAUAAUUAUUACCUGCCUUUUACUUAUUAAAGGAACUCAGAUCGCUGUUGAAUGUUUAACAAAAACUUUUCUUUUUGUUGGUUAGAGGGUACGGCCUGCCCAGUGAAUAUUAAACGGCUGCGGUAUAUUGACCGUGCUAAGGUAGCAUAAUCAUUUGGUUUUUAAUUGGAGUCUGGAAUGAACGGCUUAACAACUGGUUUUUAUCUAAAUAAGAUUGAAUAACUUGGGCUUUAAGUAAAAACACUUAAAUAAGAGAGAGGGACGAUAAGACCCUAGAAGCUUUAUAAUUACACUAUUAUUAAUUUUUUUAUAAAAAAGUAAUCUAUAAAUUAUUUGACUGGGGCGGUAGUAUUACAUACACUAAUAUUUUUUAAGACAUUAGGUUCAAAGGUCCUUUAUAUAGGGAAAAAUAGAAUAAGUUACUUUAGGGGUAACAGCGCAAUGUUUAUGGAAAGUUCUUAUUUAUAUAAACGAUUACGACCUCGAUGUUGAAUUAAAAUAUUCUUAUAGAGCAGCUACUAUUGGGAAAAGUUUGUUCAACUUUUAAAUUUUUACAUGAUUUGAGUUCAAAUCGGUUUAAGCCAGAUUGGUUUCUAUCUUCUCGAUAGGAUAAACCAGCUUAGUACGAAAGGACCAACUGGUGUUUA